Molecule: transfer RNA, 76 nt
Filed under: Candidatus Amesiibacteriota bacterium
Lineage: Bacteria; Candidatus Amesiibacteriota
Description: Candidatus Amesbacteria bacterium (sediment metagenome) tRNA-Glu
Rfam family: tRNA
About the family: Transfer RNA (tRNA) molecules are approximately 80 nucleotides in length. Their secondary structure includes four short double-helical elements and three loops (D, anti-codon, and T loops). Further hydrogen bonds mediate the characteristic L-shaped molecular structure. tRNAs have two regions of fundamental functional importance: the anti-codon, which is responsible for specific mRNA codon recognition, and the 3' end, to which the tRNAs corresponding amino acid is attached (by aminoacyl-tRNA synthetases). tRNAs cope with the degeneracy of the genetic code in two manners: having more than one tRNA (with a specific anti-codon) for a particular amino acid; and 'wobble' base-pairing, i.e. permitting non-standard base-pairing at the 3rd anti-codon position.
Source: RNAcentral
GGCCCCAUCGUCUAGCGGCCUAGGACACGAGGUUUUCAGCCUCGGUACCACGGUUCGAAUCCGUGUGGGGUCACAA